RNAcentral lists this ribosomal RNA (714 nucleotides) under uncultured bacterium. RNAcentral's name for it is "bacterial SSU rRNA". It matches the Rfam family "Bacterial small subunit ribosomal RNA", at positions 94 to 804 of the family's 1533-position model. The record is from RNAcentral.
AGUGGCCAAGGGGGGAGUAAUAUAUCGAAACGUGCCCAGUAGUGGGGGAUAGCCCGGUAAAAGCCGGAUUAAUACCGAAUGAGACCUGACGGUGAAAGCGGGGGAUCGCAAGACCUCGCGCUAUUGGAGCGGCCGAUAUCAGAUUAACUAGUUGGUGGGGUAAAGGCCUACCAAGGGAACGAUCUGUAGUUGGUCUGAGAGGACGACCAUCCCCACUGGGACUGAGACACGUCCCAGACUCCUACGGGAGGCAGCAGUGGGGAAUUUUGGACAAUGGGCGCAAGCCUGAUCCAGCAAUGCCGCGUGCAGGAAGAAUGCCUUCGGUUUGUAAACUGCUUUUGUCAGGGAAGAAAUCCUCUGGGUUAAUACCUCGGGGGGAUGACGGUACCUGAAGAAUAAGCACCGGCUAAUUACGUGCCACCAGCCGCGGUAAUACCUAGGGUGCGAGCGUUAAUCGGAAUUACUGGGCGUAAAGCCUGCGCAGGCGGUUUUGCAAGACAGAUGUGACAUCCCAGGGUUCAAUCUGGUAACUGCAUUUGUGACUGCAUUGUUAGAGUACGGUAGAGGGGGAUGGAAUUCCGCGUGUAGCAGUGAAAUGCCUACAUAUGCGGAGGAACACCAAUGGCGAAGGAAAUCCCCUGGACCUGUACUGACGCUCAUGCACGAAAGCGUGGGGAGUAAACAGGAUUAGAUACCCUGGCAGUCGACGCCCUA